This 805-nucleotide ribosomal RNA is filed under the name Iron sulfide-containing magnetotactic bacterium. RNAcentral's name for it is "bacterial SSU rRNA". It matches the Rfam family "Bacterial small subunit ribosomal RNA", at positions 102 to 885 of the family's 1533-position model. The record is from RNAcentral. Lineage: Bacteria; Deltaproteobacteria.
ACGGGUGAGUAACGCGUGGAUAAUCUAUCCUUAAAUCGGGGAUAACAUUGCGAAAGCGAUGCUAAUACCGGAUAUGAUUUAUAUUUUUUAAGGAUAUGAAUUAAAGGUGGUCUCUACAUGUAAGCUACCGUUUAAGGGUGAGUCCGCGUACCAUUAGCUUGUUGGUGAGAUAAUAGCUCACCAAGGCGANGAUGGUUAGCUGGUCUGAGAGGAUGAUCAGCCACACUGGAACUGGAACACGGUCCAGACUCUACGGGAGGCAGCAGUGAGGAAUUUUGCGCAAUGGGGGAAACCCUGAGCCAGCAACGCCGCGUGAGUGAUGAAGGCUUCGGGUCGUAAAGCUCUGUCAAGUGGGAAGAAUAUAUUUAAUGCGAAUAGUAUUAAGUACUGACGGUACCACUGAAGGAAGCACCGGCUAACUCCGUGCCAGCAGCCGCGGUAAUACGGAGGGUGCAAGCGUUAUUCGGAAUUAUUGGGCGUAAAGAGCGCGUAGGCGGUCUUAUAAGUCAGAUGUGAAAUCCCGGGNCUCAACCCCGAAAGUGCAUUUGAAACUAUAAGACUUGAGUAUGGGAGAGGGAAGUGGAAUUCCUGGUGUAGCGGUGAAAUGCGUAGAUAUCAGGAAGAACAUCAGUGGCGAAGGCGACUUCCUGGACCAAUACUGACGCUGAGGCGCGAAGGCGUGGGUAGCAAACAGGAUUAGAUACCCUGGUAGUCCACGCAGUAAACGUUGAACACUAGGUGUAGCGGGUAUUGACCCCUGCUGUGCCGCACGUAACGCAUUAAGUGUUCCGCCUGGGGAGUACGG